GGGCUAUUAGCUCAGGUGGUUAGGGCGCAACCCCUGAUAAGGGUGAGGUCCCUGGUUCGAGUCCAGGAUGGCCCA
RNAcentral lists this transfer RNA (75 nucleotides) under Dolichospermum spiroides RPAN58. RNAcentral's name for it is "tRNA-Ile". It matches the Rfam family "tRNA". From Rfam's summary of the family: Transfer RNA (tRNA) molecules are approximately 80 nucleotides in length. Their secondary structure includes four short double-helical elements and three loops (D, anti-codon, and T loops). Lineage: Bacteria; Bacillati; Cyanobacteriota; Cyanophyceae; Nostocales; Aphanizomenonaceae. RNAcentral also lists the same sequence under 1 other name. The record is from RNAcentral.